This 424-nucleotide ribosomal RNA is filed under the name Verrucomicrobiota bacterium. RNAcentral's name for it is "Verrucomicrobia bacterium partial 16S ribosomal RNA". It matches the Rfam family "Bacterial small subunit ribosomal RNA", at positions 355 to 776 of the family's 1533-position model. Lineage: Bacteria; Pseudomonadati; Verrucomicrobiota. The record is from RNAcentral.
UGAGGAAUAUUGGUCAAUGGACGAGAGUCUGAACCAGCCAAGUAGCGUGCAGGAUGACGGCCCUAUGGGUUGUAAACUGCUUUUGUUUGGGAAUAAUCGACAUUACGUGUAAUGUUUUGCAUGUACCAUUCGAAUAAGGACCGGCUAAUUCCGUGCCAGCAGCCGCGGUAAUACGGAAGGUUCGGGCGUUAUCCGGAUUUAUUGGGUUUAAAGGGAGCGUAGGCCGUUUGGUAAGCGUGUUGUGAAAUGUAGGAGCUCAACUUCUAGAUUGCGGCGCGAACUGUCAGACUUGAGUGCGCACAACGUAGGCGGAAUUCAUGGUGUAGCGGUGAAAUGCUUAGAUAUCAUGAAGAACUCCGAUUGCGAAGGCAGCUUACGGGAGCGCAACUGACGCUGAAGCUCGAAGGUGCGGGUAUCGAACAGG